This 561-nucleotide ribosomal RNA is filed under the name Pseudospiromastix tentaculata. RNAcentral's name for it is "eukaryotic LSU rRNA". It matches the Rfam family "Eukaryotic large subunit ribosomal RNA", at positions 58 to 632 of the family's 3401-position model. Lineage: Eukaryota; Fungi; Ascomycota; Eurotiomycetes; Onygenales; Spiromastigoidaceae. The record is from RNAcentral.
AAAGAAACCAACAGGGAUUGCCCCAGUAACGGCGAGUGAAGCGGCAAGAGCUCAAAUUUGAAAUCUGGCCUCCCCAGGGGGUCCGAGUUGUAAUUUGGAGAGGAUGCUUCGGGUGCGGCCCCGGUCUAAGUCCCUUGGAACGGGGCAUCAGAGAGGGUGAGAGUCCCGUCUUCGGCCGGCGGCCAAGCCCGUGUGAAGCUCCUUCGACGAGUCGAGUUGUUUGGGAAUGCAGCUCUAAAUGGGUGGUAAAUUUCAUCUAAAGCUAAAUAUUGGUUGGAGACCGAUAGCGCACAAGUAGAGUGAUCGAAAGACGAAAAGCACUUUGAAAAGAGAGUUAAACAGCACGUGAAAUUGUUGAAAGGGAAGCGCUUGCGACCAGAGUCGGCCGCGGGGGCUCAGCGGGCAUGCUUGCCCGUGCACUCCCCCGUGGUUGGGCCAGCAUCGGUUCGGGCGGUUGGUUAAAGGUCCCCGGAAUGUGUCGCCCUUCGGGGCGUCUUAUAGCCGGGGGCGCAAUGCGGCCUGCCCGGACCGAGGCACGCGCUACGGCACGGAUGCUGGCAU